GAUGAACGCUAGCGGCAGGCUUAACACAUGCAAGUCGAGGGGUAACAGGGUUGCUUGCAACCGCUGACGACCGGCGCACGGGUGCGUAACGCGUAUAGAACCUACCUUAUACUGGGGGAUAGCCCAGAGAAAUUUGGAUUAAUACCCCAUAAUAUACUAUUGUUACCUAACGAUUGUAUUAAAGAUUUAUCGGUAUAAGAUGGCUAUGCGUCCUAUUAGCUAGUUGGUAUGGUAACGGCAUACCAAGGCUACGAUAGGUAGGGGUCCUGAGAGGGAGAUCCCCCACACUGGUACUGAGACACGGACCAGACUCCUACGGGAGGCAGCAGUGAGGAAUAUUGGACAAUGGUGGGAACACUGAUCCAGCCAUGCCGCGUGCAGGAAGACUGCCCUAUGGGUUGUAAACUGCUUUUAUAUAGGAAGAAACAUUUCUACGAGUAGAGAUUUGACGGUACUAUAAGAAUAAGCAUCGGCUAACUCCG
RNAcentral lists this ribosomal RNA (482 nucleotides) under uncultured Flavobacteriaceae bacterium. RNAcentral's name for it is "bacterial SSU rRNA". It matches the Rfam family "Bacterial small subunit ribosomal RNA", at positions 28 to 505 of the family's 1533-position model. The record is from RNAcentral. Lineage: Bacteria; Pseudomonadati; Bacteroidota; Flavobacteriia; Flavobacteriales; Flavobacteriaceae.